Molecule: ribosomal RNA, 137 nt
Filed under: uncultured bacterium
Lineage: Bacteria
Description: partial 16S ribosomal RNA
Rfam family: Bacterial small subunit ribosomal RNA
Source: RNAcentral
UGCCGCGUGUGUGAAGAAGGGCUUCGGAUUGUAAAGUUCUUUAAGUUGGGAAGAAGGGCAGUUGCCUAAUACGUAACUGUUUUGACGUUACCGACAGAAUAAGCACCGGUUAACUCUGGGCCAGCAGCCGCGGUAAU